CUCCUUUGAGACCGGCGCACGGGUGCGUAACGCGUAUGCAAUCUACCUUUUACAGAGGGAUAGCCCAGAGAAAUUUGGAUUAAUACCUCAUAGUAUUUUGUAAUCGCAUGAUUUGAUUAUUAAAGUUCCAACGGUAAAGAUGAGUAUGCGUCCCAUUAGCUAGAUGGUAAGGUAACGGCUUACCAUGGCUACGAUGGGUAGGGGUCCUGAGAGGGAGAUCCCCCACACUGGUACUGAGACACGGACCAGACUCCUACGGGAGGCAGCAGUGAGGAAUAUUGGACAAUGGGCGCAAGCCUGAUCCAGCCAUGCCGCGUGCAGGAAGAAGGUCCUAUGGAUUGUAAACUGCUUUUAUACAGGAAGAAACACUCCCUCGUGAGGGAACUUGACGGUACUGUAUGAAUAAGGACCGGCUAACUCCGUG
Molecule: ribosomal RNA, 424 nt
Filed under: uncultured bacterium
Lineage: Bacteria
Description: bacterial SSU rRNA
Rfam family: Bacterial small subunit ribosomal RNA
Source: RNAcentral